Molecule: long non-coding RNA, 413 nt
Filed under: Coffea arabica (coffee)
Lineage: Eukaryota; Viridiplantae; Streptophyta; Magnoliopsida; Gentianales; Rubiaceae
Description: long non-coding RNA (CARA_LNC002824)
Source: RNAcentral
GUUAUAGAUUCAUAAGCUGAUGCCAUAUGGUGCAGUAUUUAUCACAAAGAAAAAGAAAUAACUAACCAACUAGAAGAAACUAAAGCAAGAAAUUGAAGACAAGAAGAUAGACGGCAACGUGAGUUUGAAAGACGAAGCUGCCUCUUACCUGCUUAGAAUACAAAAUCAUGGAAGCUAUUGAGAAGACUCUGCAAAUGGUCGGAUAAAGAUAAAGGAGUGACUACCGCAGCAUCGUGCAAAAGCAAUGAUGUCGAAUUAUUAACAAGGGAAGGAGUAAAGUUAAAACCACGACAUGUAUAAGCUUCUCCAUCUAUGGAACUAAUUUCUGCAUUUUUUUUUUUGGCCGCUUGGACCCAUUAGUAUUUUUGUAAUAAAAACGGAUGGAAUAUCGGAGAAGAACCCUUGGGAACAAA